UUGCUUUGAGAUAUAGAGUUCUACAUAGCUUUAUUCUUGUAUUUAAGUGGUGGGUAUGCCUGAAAGGUAGGUUGUUCCAUCAAAUUUCUAUAUGGAACUCUACACGACUACACCAAACAGGUAAACAGUACAAACAUAAUUAUUUUGCAUUCUGGCAAAGUGAGAAUUAUUUAUUUGUAGGCCGGUGUGAAAACGAACAAGAGAAAGAUGCCCUAGUGGCCUAGUACAUAUUGUAAGCUAGCAUUUCCAUGCAUCAAGUGAUGAAGAAGACAUUGGUAGGUAGGAAUGUGGGAUGCUUUUCCAUCAACAUGAUCUUAUUUAACAAGUUGAUCAGUGUGGUAGGAAGACAAAGGCAAGUCUGAGUUAUUCUUCUGUCUUUAUCAUUUCACUUGCUAAGCCUAGCCUCUUCAUUACAACAAAGCUUUUCACCAAGCUCGUUCAUUAGUUGUGUCUCGCUGCAGUGUGAAAAAAAUGCUAACCAUGAACCAUGGAAUACUUACUUGUUAAAGUGAGAAUGAUGCUGGGAAUGGGUGGUACCGGGAAAAUAAACACAAUGAAAGCCCUGAAUUGAUGUUUCCUAUAGCAGGAUCUGGUGGUUACAUUUCUCCAGGUCAGUCAUUGUAAUUUCGAUUCUAUAUCUACUGAUCGAUUUAUAGUUAUUGUGGCUCACAAGGGAAAUGGUUCGCUUUAAUUUAUAGUUUCCGAUCCAGUUUGCUUGUUUCAUUCUAAUUUUGAUGACUCAGUCUUAAUGCUCACCAAAAUAUAUAUAUAAUUUGCUCGUUUCUUAGUUUUGGUUGAUUCUAUAUGUAUUUCCUACUAACAAAAAUGACCAUCCCAAACACCGGGGUGGAAACAGGCAGUACUCUCAAGGCGUAUAACCUGAUCUACUUUAGAAUGCAACGGCAAGGUGGAAUCAUGUUUGCGCUCUUUGUGAGGUCCCAUUCUUGAAAUAAUUUGGAAUUAUUGUGUCAUCAAGAGUUGGUUUCUUCUACUGCCAAAUACAGUCUUGAUUCAGCUUGAUUCAGCUUUCAAAGCAGAGAUUCGACAUAUAUGGAUAUGAAGUAGAGGUACUCGAGAUGUUAACAGGCGAACGGGCAACAUAAUUUGGUGAGCUAGGAUAGACCAUCACUAUAUGAUUGUGAACAUAGAAUCCUUGUUCCAAUGAAUUGUUGGAACAACUUAAUCAUAAAAUUGCAGAUAUGCUGAAGUGAAUUAUAUGUAACAGGGUGGUUAGUAAAUUGUUGCAGAACAAGUUUUCAUUAUUAGUUUUUUUUGCUUUAUAUAUCUUUCUUAUUAUA
This 1298-nucleotide long non-coding RNA is filed under the name Aquilegia coerulea. RNAcentral's name for it is "long non-coding RNA (ACOE_LNC001908)". Lineage: Eukaryota; Viridiplantae; Streptophyta; Magnoliopsida; Ranunculales; Ranunculaceae. The record is from RNAcentral.